RNAcentral lists this ribosomal RNA (497 nucleotides) under uncultured bacterium. RNAcentral describes it as "partial 16S ribosomal RNA". It matches the Rfam family "Bacterial small subunit ribosomal RNA", at positions 28 to 507 of the family's 1533-position model. The record is from RNAcentral.
GAUGAACGCUGGCGGCGUGCCUAAUACAUGCAAGUCGAGCGAACAGACGAGGAGCUUGCUCCUCUGACGUUAGCGGCGGACGGGUGAGUAACACGUGGAUAACCUACCUAUAAGACUGGGAUAACUUCGGGACACCGGAGCUAAUACCGGAUAAUAUAUUGAACCGCAUGGUUCAAUAGUGAAAGACGGUUUUGCUGUCACUUAUAGAUGGAUCCGCGCCGCAUUAGCUAGUUGGUAAGGUAACGGCUUACCAAGGCAACGAUGCGUAGCCGACCUGAGAGGGUGAUCGGCCACACUAGAACUUAGACACGGUCCAGACUCCUACGGGACGCAGCAGUAGGGAAUCUUCCGCAGUGGGCGAAAGCCUGACGGAGCAACGCCGCGUGAGUGAUGAAGGUCUUCGGAUCGUAAAACUCUGUUAUUAGGGAAGAACAAAUGUGUAAGUAACUAUGCACGUCUUGACGGUACCUAAUCAGAAAGCCACGGCUAACUACGUG